Molecule: unclassified non-coding RNA, 311 nt
Organism: Ochotona princeps (American pika)
Lineage: Eukaryota; Metazoa; Chordata; Mammalia; Lagomorpha; Ochotonidae
Gene: 7SK
Rfam family: 7SK RNA
About the family: 7SK was discovered as an abundant small nuclear RNA in the mid-70s but a possible function has only recently been suggested. Two independent studies have found that 7SK RNA binds the CDK9/cyclin T complex (known as elongation factor P-TEFb).
Source: Ensembl
GGAUCUGAGGGCGAUCUGGCUGCGACAUCUGUUGCCCCAUUGAUCGCCAGGGUUGAUUCGGCUGAUCUGGCUGGCUAGGCGGGUGUCCCCUUCCUCCCUCACUGCUCCAUGUGCGUCCCUCCCAAAGCUGCGCGCUCAGUCGAAGAGGACAACCAUCCCCGCUAGAGGAGGACCGGUCUUCGGUCAAGGGUAUAGGAGUAGCUGCGCUUCCCUGCUAGAACCUCCAAACAAGCUCUCAAGGUCCAAAAUUGCGGUAACAGUCAGAUCUGGGUCAGGCUCAAGCCAGGGGUAAAGAACUCCACCCUGGUCUC